RNAcentral lists this ribosomal RNA (468 nucleotides) under uncultured bacterium. RNAcentral describes it as "partial 16S ribosomal RNA". It matches the Rfam family "Bacterial small subunit ribosomal RNA", at positions 28 to 507 of the family's 1533-position model. The record is from RNAcentral.
GACGAACGCUGGCGGCGUGCUUAACACAUGCAAGUCGAACGGAAAGGCCCUGCUUUUGUGGGGUGCUCGUGUGGCGAACGGGUGAGUAACACGUGAGUAACCUGCCCUUGACUUUGGGAUAACUUCAGGAAACUGGGGCUAAUACCGGAUAGAUGCUUCUGCUGCCUGGUGGGGGUUGGAAAGUUUCGGCGGUUGGGGAUGGACUCGCGGCUUAUCAGCUUGUUGGCUGGUUAGUGGCUUACCAAGGCUUCGACGGGUAGCCGGCCUGGGAGGGUGACCGGCCACAUGAGGACUGAGAGACGGACCAGACUCCUACGGGAGGCAACAGUGGGGAAUAUUGCGCAAUAGGCGGAAGCCUGAUGCAGCAACGCCGGGUGCGGGAUGACGGGCUUCGGGUGGAAAACCGCUUUCGCCGGUGACGAAGCGUGAGUGACGGUAAUGGGUAAGAAAGCACCGGCUAACUACGUG